GAUGAACGCUGGCGGCGUGCCUAAUACAUGCAAGUCGAGCGAACGGACGAGAAGCUUGCUUCUCUGAUGUUAGCGGCGGACGGGUGAGUAACACGUGGAUAACCUACCUAUAAGACUGGGAUAACUUCGGGAAACCGUAGCUAAUACCGGAUAAUAUUUUGAACCGCAUGGUUCAAAAGUGAAAGACGGUCUUGCUGUCACUUAUAGAUGGAUCCGCGCUGCAUUAGCUAGUUGGUAAGGUAACGGCUUACCAAGGCAACGAUGCAUAGCCUACCUGAGAGCGUCAUCGGACACCCUGGAACUGAGACCCGGUCCAGACUCCUACGGGGGGACGCAGUAGGGAAUCUUCCGCAAUGGGCGAAAGCCUGACGGAGCACCGCCGCGUGAGUGAUGACGGUCUUCGGAUCGUAAAACUCUGUUAUUAGGGAAGAACAUAUGUGUAAGUAACUGUGCACAUCUUGACGGUACCUAAUCAGAGAGCCACGGCUAACUACGUG
Molecule: ribosomal RNA, 497 nt
Filed under: uncultured bacterium
Lineage: Bacteria
Description: partial 16S ribosomal RNA
Rfam family: Bacterial small subunit ribosomal RNA
Source: RNAcentral